GAGGAAAGUCCGGACUCCACAGGGCAGGGUGAUGGCUAACGGCCAUCCGUGGCGACACGCGGAACAGGGCAACAGAAAGCAAACCGCCGAUGGCCCGGCGCAAGCCGGGAUCAGGUAAGGGUGAAACGGUGCGGUAAGAGCGCACCGCGGCGACGGCGACGUUCGCCGGCACGGUAACCUCCACCCGGAGCAAUUCCAAGUAGGCAGGCGCGCAUUUUCGGAUGCAGGACGGGGCCCCCGUCUCGUCUGCGGGUAGGAAGCUUGAGCGCGUCAGCAAUGGCGCGCCUAGAGGAAUGGCUGCCAC
RNAcentral lists this unclassified non-coding RNA (304 nucleotides) under Burkholderia ambifaria AMMD. RNAcentral describes it as "RNA component of RNaseP". It matches the Rfam family "Bacterial RNase P class A", at positions 43 to 321 of the family's 367-position model. From Rfam's summary of the family: Ribonuclease P (RNase P) is a ubiquitous endoribonuclease, found in archaea, bacteria and eukarya as well as chloroplasts and mitochondria. Its best characterised activity is the generation of mature 5'-ends of tRNAs by cleaving the 5'-leader elements of precursor-tRNAs. Cellular RNase Ps are ribonucleoproteins. The record is from RNAcentral. Lineage: Bacteria; Pseudomonadati; Pseudomonadota; Betaproteobacteria; Burkholderiales; Burkholderiaceae.